Molecule: ribosomal RNA, 496 nt
Filed under: uncultured bacterium
Lineage: Bacteria
Description: partial 16S ribosomal RNA
Rfam family: Bacterial small subunit ribosomal RNA
Source: RNAcentral
GACGAACGCUGGCGGCGUGCCUAAUACAUGCAAGUUGAGCGCUGAAGGUUGGUACUUGUACCGACUGGAUGAGCAGCGAACGGGUGAGUAACGCGUGGGGAAUCUGCCUUUGAGCGGGGGACAAAAUUUGGAAACGAAUGCUAAUACCGCAUAAAAACUUUAAACACAAGUUUUAAGUUUGAAAGAUGCAAUUGCAUCACUCAAAGAUGAUCCCGCGUUGUAUUAGCUAGUUGGUGAGGUAAAGGCUCACCAAGGCGAUGAUACAUAGCCGACCUGAGAGGGUGAUCGGCCACAUUGGGACUGAGACACGGCCCAAACUCCUACGGGAGGCAGCAGUAGGGAAUCUUCGGCAAUGGACGAAAGUCUGACCGAGCAACGCCGCGUGAGUGAAGAAGGUUUUCGGAUCGUAAAACUCUGUUGGUAGAGAAGAACGUUGGUGAGAGUGGAAAGCUCAUCAAGUGACGGUAACUACCCAGAAAGGGACGGCUAACUACGU